GAUAGUCGGACGGUUGCGCGGUUUUGCCGCGAGGAAAGUCCGAACACCGCAGGACAGGACGCCGGCUAACUACCGGUGAAGGUGACUUUAAGGAAAGUGCAACAGAAAUAAACCGCCGCAGCCGCAAGGCUUCGGUAAGGAUGGAAAGGCGGAGUAAGAGCCCACCGCACCCACGGCAACGCGGGUGGCAAUGUAAACCCCGUCCGGUGCAAGAUUGUGAGGAAAAUCGGUUGUCCGCCGUUCCUCCCGUAUCGCUUGAACGUAUCGGCAACGAUGCGUCUAGACAGAUAACCGUCCCAGACAGAAUUCGGCUUACAGAUUAUCUU
Molecule: RNase P RNA, 326 nt
Filed under: human gut metagenome
Description: Bacterial RNase P class A
Rfam family: Bacterial RNase P class A
About the family: Ribonuclease P (RNase P) is a ubiquitous endoribonuclease, found in archaea, bacteria and eukarya as well as chloroplasts and mitochondria.
Source: RNAcentral